RNAcentral lists this long non-coding RNA (287 nucleotides) under Homo sapiens (human). RNAcentral describes it as "HSALNT0023272". The record is from RNAcentral. Lineage: Eukaryota; Metazoa; Chordata; Mammalia; Primates; Hominidae.
CAGCCUCCUGCUUCCCGAGGGCAUGUACAGGCCCAGCCUCUGCCUCACAGCAGACUCUUCACACCCAGCUCUUCCCUGUCUGCGGCCUCUCCAGUCCAAAGCUGCUCCUGCCUUUUGGCAGCUUGUACAGGCCCAGCUCCUCCCUCACGGUGGCCUCUUUCGGCCCAACUCAUGCCUCUUGCAACGUGCCCAAGUGUCAGCUCCUGCCUCACACUGGCCUGUUGAGGCCCAGCUCAUGCCUCUCGUGGCCUCAACGGGCCCAUCCCCUGCCUGUCGGCGGCCUCUAC